UUUGGCAUUUAAGACUGACUCAUAUUCCAUUUGCAAACAUGAAACACAUUCCUUCUUUGUCCUUUCCUUUUGCUUCCAAACAACCAUUCCCUUGUUCUAUUUGUCCUAUGGCUAGGCAAACUAGACUUCCUUUUCCUGACAGUUCAAUCAGUACCUGUAGACCUUUCCAACUGAUUCAUGUAGACACUUGGGGCCCUUAUCACACUUCCUUUUCCUGACAGUUCAAUCAGUACCUGUAGACCUUUCCAACUGAUUCAUGUAGACACUUGGGCCCUUAUCACACACCCACCUCUUCUGGCUCAAGGUACUUUCUUACUAUAGUUG
RNAcentral lists this long non-coding RNA (324 nucleotides) under Nicotiana benthamiana. RNAcentral's name for it is "long non-coding RNA (NBEN_LNC039139)". The record is from RNAcentral. Lineage: Eukaryota; Viridiplantae; Streptophyta; Magnoliopsida; Solanales; Solanaceae.